GACGAACGUUGGCGGCGUGCUUAAUACAUGCAAGUCAACUGAAGCAGUGGUAGCAAUAUCGCUGUGGAGGUGGCGCACGGGUGAGUAACACGUAGGUAAUCUGCCUUCAGGUCUGGUAUAACUCCGGGAAACCGGGGCUAAUAGCAGAUGAUGCAGCGGCUCGACAUCGAGACAGUUGUUAAAGCUAUGGCGCCUGAAGAUGAGCCUGCGUCUGAUUAGCUAGUUGGCGGGGUAACGGCCCACCAAGGCAACGAUCAGUAGCUGGUCUGAGAGGAUGAUCAGCCACACUGGAACUGAGACACGGUCCAGACUCCUACGGGAGGCAGCAGUAAGGAAUAUUGCUCAAUGGGAGAAAUCCUGAAGCAGCAACGCCGCGUGAGGGACGAAGGGCUUUUGCUUGUAAACCUCUGUAGUGAGAGAAAAAAAUCCCAAUCUUUGGGACAUGAUGGUAGCUCAAAAGUAAGCCCCGGCUAACUACGUG
Molecule: ribosomal RNA, 481 nt
Filed under: uncultured bacterium
Lineage: Bacteria
Description: partial 16S ribosomal RNA
Rfam family: Bacterial small subunit ribosomal RNA
Source: RNAcentral